CUACUGGAAACGGUGGCUAAUACCGCAUAACGUCGCAAGACCAAAGAGGGGGACCUUCGGGCCUCUUGCCAUCAGAUGUGCCCAGAUGGGAUUAGCUUGUUGGUGAGGUAACGGCUCACCAAGGCGACGAUCCCUAGCUGGUCUGAGAGGAUGACCAGCCACACUGGAACUGAGACACGGUCCAGACUCCUACGGGAGGCAGCAGUGGGGAAUAUUGCACAAUGGGCGCAAGCCUGAUGCAGCCAUGCCGCGUGUAUGAAGAAGGCCUUCGGGUUGUAAAGUACUUUCAGCGGGGAGGAAGGGAGUAAAGUUAAUACCUUUGCUCAUUGACGUUACCCGCAGAAGAAGCACCGGCUAACUCCGUGCCAGCAGCCGCGGUAAUACAGAGGGUGCAAGCGUUAAUCGGAAUUACUGGGCGUAAAGCGCACGCAGGCGGAUUGGUAAGUC
Molecule: ribosomal RNA, 447 nt
Filed under: Acinetobacter baumannii
Lineage: Bacteria; Pseudomonadati; Pseudomonadota; Gammaproteobacteria; Moraxellales; Moraxellaceae
Description: bacterial SSU rRNA
Rfam family: Bacterial small subunit ribosomal RNA
Source: RNAcentral